RNAcentral lists this unclassified non-coding RNA (352 nucleotides) under soil metagenome. RNAcentral's name for it is "partial contains 5.8S ribosomal RNA, internal transcribed spacer 2, and large subunit ribosomal RNA". The stretch from base 1 to 120 matches the Rfam family "5.8S ribosomal RNA", at positions 35 to 154 of the family's 154-position model. The record is from RNAcentral.
GAUGAAGAACGUAGCGAAAUGCGAUAAGUAAUGUGAAUUGCAGAAUUCAGUGAAUCAUCGAAUCUUUGAACGCACAUUGCGCCCGCCAGUAUUCUGGCGGGCAUGCCUGUUCGAGCGUCAUUACAACCCUCAGGCCCCCGGGCCUGGCGUUGGGGAUCGGCGGAGCCCCCCGUGGGCACACGCCGUCCCCCAAAUACAGUGGCGGUCCCGCCGCAGCUGCCAUCGCGUAGUAGCUAACACCUCGCGACUGGAGAGCGGCGCGGCCACGCCGUAAAACACCCAACUCUUCUGAAGUUGACCUCGAAUCAGGUAGGAAUACCCGCUGAACUUAAGCAUAUCAAUAAGCGGAGGA